UCAAUUAAUCAUUUUUGUGGUUUUUUCCCUUACAUCAGGUUUCCUUAGGAAAUAAAGAAAGAAGCAAAGGAGUGUUCUACAAAGCUCUCCAGAAUUGUCCUUGGGCAAAGGUGUUGUACAUGGACGCUGUGGAGUACUUCCCUGAUGAGAUGCAGGAGGUCGUGGAUCUGAUGACCGAGAAGGAGCUCCGGGUGCGCCUGCCGCUGGAGGAGCUGGAGCUGCUGCUUGAGGACUAGAGCCCGGGAGGGAGGGGUUCGCAGCCAAAGCGCCUGCCCUGUCAUAGCCGGGAGGGGUCCAAGCGAAGGCGUGUAUUGAGAGACCUGCUUCUGAACUGUUCCUUCUUGGUAAUUUGUGUCUGGGUUGUCAGUCUCUCACAUCAGACACAUUUUUUGGAUGUGUAAAUGACACAAAAGCUAUUGAUUUACAUAUUAUAUAUGUGAAUAUGUGUACGUGUGUAUGAAGAAUCAUGCCGAAUGGUAAUUAAACCGCGUAUGGUUACGGUG
Molecule: long non-coding RNA, 503 nt
Organism: Galeopterus variegatus (Sunda flying lemur)
Lineage: Eukaryota; Metazoa; Chordata; Mammalia; Dermoptera; Cynocephalidae
Exons: 2
Source: RefSeq, a predicted model, not a curated record